UCCAAACAGUCAACGAUUCAAAGAAGAUCGGUUCAUUGACAAAUCUUCUUAAGGACAUCAAAUUUUGGGAAAAGAAAUUUCACACUAUUCGGUUUGCUUUUGUCAAAAGGGAUGGAAACAUGUCAGCGCAUUUUCUAGCAAAGUUUGGAUCUGUAUCCUCUGUUUUUUAUUCAAAUUCUGUACUUUCAGCCAUCUUAGCUCCAAAACCAACUUUGUAUUGACUCUUUAAAUUUAAUAUAAUCAUGUUUUUGAUGAAAAAAAAAAAAAUAUUUGGUUUAUAACAACAAACCCCAAACGUGAUUUGUCUUUGUUUUGUUGAAAUAGGCUUUUGGGUUUUGCGUUCUAAUGAAUGAACAAAUCAUCAAAUUUCGACUGUAGCCGUCAAUAGCUUUUUGGAAGCUCAAUUUGCGAUUUCUCUCACCACACCUCGAGGUCUCGGCUCCUCUUCCGGAUUGCUUGAUCCUCGUCCAUUCCCAAACACAUAGUGUUUACCUAGACAAUAAAUCCUGAAAUCGAGCUUCCACAGGAAAAACUCAUCACCCAAAAUUUCUAUGUUGUGGCUUUGUCAAAGAAAACUACUAUGGAGGAGAUUUAUAUAAGAACAAACUAAUUCAGUUCCUUGGACGAACAACACCUAUCAUUCUCCAAAGCCAAAAUGGACCUUGUCCUUUGUUGGCAAUUUGUAGUUUACUAGCUACUGUCGAGGAUUUAGGUCAUCAUGCUGGUUAUUACAAACUCUUGAAAUCUCGUGGCGCAAGGUCUUAUAUCUAACAUUCGAUUUUGUUUUAUGAUUUUGGUUGUCUUUUAAUUUGAGAAGAAACAAGAAUUUUAGUGUCAAGUAACGGACUGUAAUUCGAAGCUUGUGUGAUUGUAUGAGUAAAUUAUAUUGAAGAAAUUGAGUUAUUCAUUGAAAUUACUACUUUUUAUGCUUAAAUUUGGCUUCUUUAGCUUGUUUUGAUAUCGUUACUAUGGAAAUGAUG
Long non-coding RNA from Arabidopsis lyrata subsp. lyrata, 980 nucleotides. RefSeq lists it as uncharacterized. The record is from RefSeq and is a predicted model, not a curated record. NCBI's taxonomy places the organism in Eukaryota, Viridiplantae, Streptophyta, Magnoliopsida, Brassicales, Brassicaceae. The transcript has 2 exons.